CUUUGGGUGUUUUUUCGCUGGAGCAAAAGGGGUCCGGGUACGUGGGGGUCCUACCUGUCGCCCUUGGUGAACUUGCGGAAAGCCUGGCGGAGGUCGUGGAAGGAGCGCCGCCGCCGCAGCUCCUGGAUCUCCUCGUCCUUCUCGCCCAAGCGCCGCUCC
Long non-coding RNA from Nothoprocta perdicaria, 159 nucleotides. RefSeq lists it as uncharacterized. The record is from RefSeq and is a predicted model, not a curated record. Lineage: Eukaryota; Metazoa; Chordata; Aves; Tinamiformes; Tinamidae. The transcript has 2 exons.